Molecule: long non-coding RNA, 1426 nt
Filed under: Anas platyrhynchos (mallard)
Lineage: Eukaryota; Metazoa; Chordata; Aves; Anseriformes; Anatidae
Description: lncRNA (ENSAPLG00020009583.1)
Source: RNAcentral
CUUAAAUGCUGCCACAGAAGGGCAGAAAGUUAGUUGGUCAGCAACAGUGUUAGAUUCAGCACUAUGGCCUCGGUCUGUUGGAAUAUUUUCAGUAGCUUUACUGAAAAAUUGGUACAUUGUAUAUAAUGUUUUUAGAAAAGUGAAACCAAGUACUGCCUGACUUUCUCUUUAGUAUCUGUGGGAGUUUAUAAGCAAAUUAACAGAGCUCAGAAAAUGGCACACUAUCCCACUCGAACUAAAGGGAGAAUUUUAGGUAGGUGGAAUGUAAUUAUGAGACUGAAAUUCAGCCAGGAUUUGGGCAGAAGAAAUUGUGGAUUUGUCAAGCAGCUAUGAAAAGUAUUUCAAAGUUGUUACCAAAGCAGAGGCAUAAGAAAUAUUUUGUCACCUACACAAUAUUAGGCUAAGAAUUCUGUUCUUCUCUGCUUUUGAUGUAGUGGAUGUAAAGGGAAAUGGUGAGAACCAGAGAGAGUUUCUUUGCAGAAUGUUCAAAGAGGAAAAUGUCAAAGAUGGGAGACAAUAACAGUAAGCUUCAUGGCUUGAACUCCCACAACAUGAGUCAUAUGGAGCUGGUUAUUUCCUGGUGAAUAGCAAGAAGCAAGCAAAAAUUAUCAUUUGAAUAAAACAACCUCAUAUACGGAUUUAUAUGACUAGGAUAUUACCAGCGUUUCAUGCUAGAAGACACCAUUUGUGAAAGGCCACUUAACACAUCUUGUGUAAAGUCUCUAUAAUUAGUGGAUAGUUGAUUUGUAAAGGGAAGAAUACUCAAUGUUAGAGGUAAGAAUAAAGAAUUUUUGUCUUUUUAAUUAUUGUUAAGGAGGUAAAACAAACCAUUAAAAGUUUUAGAAAUAAUUAUUUUGAAAUACCAUUAGUUUAGAAAUAUUUAAGGGGUUGAAUUACAAGUCAGAUUUAGAAACAACCAAAAUUAAGAACAUAGAUACGAAAACUAAAAGGUCCUAUAUAAGAGCUAGCCCAAUACUAUCUUUCCAUAGUAUCAGUCACUUUCAAACAUUCUUGCACAGAAAUCAAGGAUGUCCAUCAAACAUCAUGCUACAGAGAAAAUUAUCCACUAUGCGUUUUUUGUUUGUUUUUCACAACUUAAAAUUGAAAAAUAAUUAAAAAAAAAAAAAAAAAAAAAUAAAAGAGCUACUCUACCACAGAGAGUACUGGAACUGGCUCGGAGAUCGGGUCUGAUUUCUGAAGGUGAAAGGAGGGCAGUUCUAAACUACUUCUGUGUUCCCAUAGUUGGAUCUGCGUAGAAUCCAGAGAGGCCACAGAUCUUAGCAUACCUUGAAUUGAAGCAAUGUCUGGAAGUCAUUAUUCAAGUGAGAAUAUUCAGACUGGAAUUAUUAGUAUCUGACACUUCUUUACCAGCCCCUCAAUAAUUUUUUUAAAAAGGUUGCAUUCUGGAAUGAAUGUACAUUUUGAU